UCAGGAAUUUUGGGCAAUGGGCGAGAGCCUGACCCAGCAACGCCGCGUGAGGGAUGAAGGCCUUCGGGUCGUAAACCUCUGUCGAUUGGGAAGAAAGGUCGCUAGUCGAACAGGCUAGAGGCUUGACGGUACCUUUAAAGGAAGGACCGGCUAACUCCGUGCCAGCAGCCGCGGUAAUACGGAGGGUCCGAGCGUUGUUCGGAAUUACUGGGCGUAAAGCGCGUGUAGGCGGCUUCGUCAGUCGGAUGUGAAAUCCCAGGGCCCAACCCUGGAACUGCAUCCGAUACUGCGGAGCUCGAGUCCUGGAGAGGAUGGCGGAAUUCCGGGUGUAGAGGUGAAAUUCGUAGAUAUCCGGAGGAACACCAGUGGCGAAGGCGGCCAUCUGGACAGUGACUGACGCUGAGACGCGAAAGCGUGGGGAGCAAACAGGAUUAGAUACCCCCGUAGUCC
RNAcentral lists this ribosomal RNA (450 nucleotides) under uncultured prokaryote. RNAcentral describes it as "bacterial SSU rRNA". It matches the Rfam family "Bacterial small subunit ribosomal RNA", at positions 355 to 796 of the family's 1533-position model. The record is from RNAcentral.